RNAcentral lists this unclassified non-coding RNA (200 nucleotides) under uncultured fungus. Its description in RNAcentral is "sequence contains ITS1, 5.8S rRNA gene". RNAcentral also lists the same sequence under 1 other name. Lineage: Eukaryota; Fungi. The record is from RNAcentral.
AAUAAUUUGAUAAUUACACAAUUAUCUAAUUUACUGUGAACUGUUUUAAUUAUGACGCAUAAGGGGAUGACUAUAUACCAUAGGGUAGGUAUAUAGAAUGUUAACCUAGUCAUAGUCAAGCUUGAUGCUUGGUACCCAUUAUUAUUUACCAAAAGAAUUCAGAUUAAAUAAUGUAACAUAGAUCUAAACAAUCUAUAAAA